RNAcentral lists this ribosomal RNA (484 nucleotides) under uncultured bacterium. RNAcentral's name for it is "partial 16S ribosomal RNA". It matches the Rfam family "Bacterial small subunit ribosomal RNA", at positions 30 to 507 of the family's 1533-position model. The record is from RNAcentral.
AUUGAACGCUGGCGGCAGGCCUAACACAUGCAAGUCGAGCGGAUGAAGGGAGCUUGCUCCUGGAUUCAGCGGCGGACGGGUGAGUAAUGCCUAGGAAUCUGCCUGGUAGUGGGGUAUAACGUCCGGAAACGGGCGCUAAUACCGCAUACGUCCUGAGGGAGAAAGUGGGGGAUCUUCGGACCUCACGCUAUCAGAUGAGCCUAGGUCGGAUUAGCUAGUUGGUGGGGUAAAGGCCUACCAAGGCGACGAUCCGUAACUGGUCUGAGAGGAUGAUCAGUCACACUGGAACUGAGACACGGUCCAGACUACUACGGGAGGCAGCAGUGGGGAAUAUUGGACAGUGGGCGAAAGCCUGAUCCAGCCAUGCCGCGUGUGUGAAGAAGGUCUUCGGAUUGUAAAGCACGUUAAGUUGGGAGGAACGGCAGUAAGUUAAUACCUUGCUGUUUUGACGUUACCAACAGAAUAAGCACCGGCUAACUUCGUG